CUCCGUCCCUGCCUCCCACCUCCCGGUCCCCUCCCUCGCUCGCUCCCUGCCCACUCCCGCGGGGACGCUCCGUGGCGCGGCUUCUUCACACUUUAGUUGGGAGCCGCGCGCCGCGCUCAGUUACUGGAGAGCUGGCCGCGCGCCGCCGCCCCCCGCUCGCACGCACGCGGGCCCGGCCUCGGGGGGUUCGGCUUCUACUCCCAGCAGCAGGGAGGAGGGGGAGCCGCGGACACCCUGUGGGGAGGAGGAGGAGGAGGAGGAGGAGGGAGGAAGAGAAAAGCGAGGAGGAGAGGGCGGGGGGCGGGGGGCUCGCCACCUUCAGCUCCCCCGCGAGCGCCCAAGGGCUUUUCUCCACUGGGACUCCACGCAUGGACCCUUCCACCCCAAGGACAGCAGUGUGAGCGAGCACCCUGGGAGUAAAACACAUUUCCUCGAGUGGAUUGGAAGUCAUCACUGCGUUUCUGAAGACAUUUAGCCACAGAUUUAAUUCAAAAUCCUGUUGGUGUGCGCAGCUUGACCAACUCAGCAGCAAGGUGGAUUCUCUUUGUGUUUAAAGAAACAAAAAAAUGUUCCCGUGUCUGUAGAGAUGAUUUGCAGUUCAGCCCAGCUGAAGCUGACCGAAUGAGACUAUGGGCUGUGCCUCCGCCAAGCAUGUUGCUACUGUUCAAAAUGAAGAGGAAGCCCAGAAAGGGAAGAGCUACCAGAACGGAGAUGCAUUUGGCGAUGAGUAUAGGAUCAAACCAGUGGAAGAGGUCAAAUACAUGAAAAAUGGGGCAGAAGAGGAGCAGAAAAUAGCAGUGAGGAACCAAGAAAACUUGAGAGCAGAAAACCACCAAUGCUACUGCAGGAACCCCCAAAGACAGGGGAAAACUACACCCAGCAUGAGUCUUCAGUGUAAUGAAAACCGAAGAUCAGGCAUGUCCAGCCACAGGGAUCAUAGCAGCAUGUGUUGAUAUGGAGAAGCCAGAAAUUUCAAACAGCCUGGAACGUUGCCUCAACAGAUGGAGAGCAGCUGCCCAGGAAAGACACCAGGACUGCAGACUUUGAAUAGCCAGAAAUAAAUAAACUGAGACCAAUCCAGAUGUAGACUUGCCCAAGGUCAAACAGUGAGUGUUUGGUACAGUCGGAACUCAGCGUUAGGUCUUCUGACUUCAGAUCCAAAUAUCUUAGUAAUCUUUCCAUGACAUUCUAUUGCCUCAGAAUGUCUAAUAAUGAGAACAGGCAACUGCAGUUUCCUAUUGCUUCAUGCUGUGAUUUGCAGGACCAGCCUCUUCAUGCGUCAGAACCCAUUUACACGUAUCACCUUUCCACACUCUGGCGCCCUGUCGUUCAUCCCCCAAAGGAAGCACAUCUUCCAGUUCUCCAUACAGCUCCUACCAUGUCAAAUGAGUUAGUACAUGUGCAGUGAUGGGCACUGUAGUGAACUGAAUUGUGUCCCCCAAGUUUUAUGUCUUAGAAACAGCCCCCACUGUGACUAUUAAGAGGGUGGGAAAUCCUAUUAUGGUAAUUGAAAGGUGGAGCCUUGAAGAGGCGAUUGGGUUGUGGAACUGUGCAGUAGUGAAUGGAUUAAACAUGGUGGUCAGGGGUGUGGUUCUGAGGGCUUUAAAAGAAGAGAGUUUGUCUCUCCUGCUCUCUCUGCUUCCACCAUCUAACAGUGUGAGACCCCUGGGUCACUGUUGCCACCACCAGAUGGACUUUGGACUUCCUGACCUCAGAAACUGUAAGCAAUAAAUUUUGUUUUCUUUACAAA
This is an RNA transcript of Cynocephalus volans (Philippine flying lemur), 1750 nucleotides long. RefSeq lists it as uncharacterized. The transcript has 7 exons. The record is from RefSeq and is a predicted model, not a curated record. NCBI's taxonomy places the organism in Eukaryota, Metazoa, Chordata, Mammalia, Dermoptera, Cynocephalidae.